Molecule: long non-coding RNA, 635 nt
Filed under: Homo sapiens (human)
Lineage: Eukaryota; Metazoa; Chordata; Mammalia; Primates; Hominidae
Description: HSALNT0364643
Source: RNAcentral
CUCCGCCCGGCAGCCACCCCAUCUGGGAAGGAUCACUGGAUACUGCAAGGCAAUAUAGAUGGUAGACGGGCAAGAGUGGAAGCAUCUCUCCAAUUUGAAGAAGAUGGCAAAACGUUGCCCUUGCAUAACAUCAGAAGAUCCCUAAUGUCUGCCUUGAAGAGCUCUCGACAAUAGCAGCAAUGAACUACAGAAAAUGUUACAAUGUCAUUGCUACAUGAAGAGAAGAUCAAGAGAAUUCAGCCAGAAGACUGUAGAAACAAAGUCAUGAAUCAUGCUGUCCUUGGAUAACCCGGUGUCACCCAGAAUCUCUGUAUCCCUUGGAAAUGUAGACUUUCUCCAACCGCCUCUCCCUCCUUGGUGGCUUCUCUGCCUGGACAGACUUGUCUUUGUAUUAGUAGUGUCACUUUACCUCCUACUACUCAGGAACAGACCAGCCAGUCCCAUGACAAAUUUCCACAAAAUGCCAUGUAUCUUGUAAAUUUAAUGAAUCACUUUGGGAAAAGGUGGGACACAGAGAGCUUAAUGUAAAAAAACCCAUUUUUUUGGUCAGAGUGCUGAAAAAAAUAGAACUUCUUUAACAGGUUCUGAGUAGAAACAUAGCUCAAUGAAGAAAUAAAAGCACCUACUGUUUGAAA